GAUGAACGCUGGCGGCGUGCCUAAUACAUGCAAGUCGAGCGAACAGAUAAGGAGCUUGCCUCUUUUACGUUAGCGGCGCACGGGGGAGUAACACGUGUAUAACCUAUCUAUAAGAGUGGGGUAAAUUCGGGGAACCGGAGCGAAAACCGGAUAACAGAUUUAACCUCAGGGUUCAGGAGAGAAAGACGGCGGUGCUGACACGUAUGGAUGGAUCCGCGCCGAAUUAGCUAGUUGGUAAGGUAACGGCUUACCAAGGCAACGAUACGUAGCCGACCUGAGAGAGUGACCGCCCAAACUGGACCUGAGCAACGCCCAGGCUUCUUCCGGGAGGAACAGGUAGGGAACCUUCCGCAAUGGGCGAAAGCCUGACGGAGCACCGCGGCGUGAGUGAUGCAGGCUUUCGGAUCGUAAACCCCUUUUAUCAGGGCAGAACGACUGUGUACGUAACUUUGCACAUCUUGACGGUACCUGAACAGAAAGCCACGGCUAACUACGUG
RNAcentral lists this ribosomal RNA (497 nucleotides) under uncultured bacterium. RNAcentral describes it as "partial 16S ribosomal RNA". It matches the Rfam family "Bacterial small subunit ribosomal RNA", at positions 28 to 507 of the family's 1533-position model. The record is from RNAcentral.